ACUCAAAUGAAUAGACGGGGACCCGCACAAGCGGUGGAGCAUGUGGAUUAAUUCGAUACUAACCGAAGAACCUUACCCAGACUUGACAUCGAUCGCAAAGCUCUGAAAGGAGCUCCUCCCCCACAAGGGGACGUGAAGACACUUGUUGCAUGGCUGUCGUCAGCUCGUGCCGUGAGGUGUACGGUUAAGUCCGCCAACGAGCGCAACCCACGUCCUGUGUUACCAGCAUGAAAGAUGGGCACUCACAGGAGACCGCCGGUGUAAGCCGGAGGAAGGUGUGGAUGACGUCAAGUCAGCAUGGCAGUUACGUCUGGGGCUUCACACAUGCUACAAUGGGCGCAACAAAGGGCCGCGAUACCGCGAGGUGGAGCCAAUCCCAAAAAUACGCCCCCAGUUCAGAUUGCAGUCUGCAACUCGACUGCAUGAAGGCGGAAUCGCUAGUAAACGCAGGUCAGCUAUACUGCGUUGAAUACGUUCCCGGGUCUUGUACACACCGCCCGU
Molecule: ribosomal RNA, 501 nt
Filed under: uncultured bacterium
Lineage: Bacteria
Description: partial 16S ribosomal RNA
Rfam family: Bacterial small subunit ribosomal RNA
Source: RNAcentral